GCCCGCAUAGCUCAAUAGCAGAGUCGCCGACCGAUAAUCGGCAGACCGGGGUGCAAAUCCCCGUGUGGGCACCA
This 74-nucleotide transfer RNA is filed under the name Chthoniobacterales bacterium. Its description in RNAcentral is "tRNA-Ile". It matches the Rfam family "tRNA". Rfam says of the family: Transfer RNA (tRNA) molecules are approximately 80 nucleotides in length. The record is from RNAcentral. Lineage: Bacteria; Pseudomonadati; Verrucomicrobiota; Spartobacteria; Chthoniobacterales.